Molecule: ribosomal RNA, 586 nt
Filed under: Alexandrium margalefii
Lineage: Eukaryota; Dinophyceae; Gonyaulacales; Pyrocystaceae
Description: partial Bacterial small subunit ribosomal RNA
Rfam family: Bacterial small subunit ribosomal RNA
Source: RNAcentral
GUAUUCUAGAUUUGAUGUGGUGUAGGAAUGUUAAUAGUAAUAGUGAAAUGUAUAUAGAAUUGGUAUAAAAUAAAUUGGAUAUUGGUAGCUUGAAAAGGUAGAUAUUCGAUUCACGAAAGCUUGAGGUGUGACAGGGAUUUGAGACCCCUUUAAUUCGAGACUGAAAUUAUGCAGGCAAUGUUUGUGGAUCUCUUUUUAACAAAUAAAGGUUCUUUUCCUAAGGAGUACGCUUUCACUUGUGAAACUUAAAUGUUCUGGUGGUGGUUUAGAACAAUAGUGGAAUAGAUGAUUUAAUUCGAUGAAAUGCGAUAAAGCUUAUCUGUUAUCUGAAAUAAUACCUAGGUAUAGGUAGAAUUCUAUUCGAGGUAGUGCAUGGCUGUUGGAGGGUAAUGUUUUGUAAUAUCUGGUUUCGGACAGGAAUAGCCGAUACACUUUUAGUUGUUAUAGGUCUUUUGCAUCUUUUCAUGAUGCAUGAUAUGAAUAAUGAAUGUGAUGCAUGAAUAGUAUGGUCUUUUAGAUAGAAUAACGUCGAGUCAUUAUGCUCUUUAGUUCGGAGAUAUUCAUGUGUUACUAGGAGAGGUAUAUA